Transfer RNA from Marinobacterium sp., 74 nucleotides. It matches the Rfam family "tRNA". From Rfam's summary of the family: Transfer RNA (tRNA) molecules are approximately 80 nucleotides in length. Their secondary structure includes four short double-helical elements and three loops (D, anti-codon, and T loops). NCBI's taxonomy places the organism in Bacteria, Pseudomonadati, Pseudomonadota, Gammaproteobacteria, Oceanospirillales, Oceanospirillaceae. The record is from Rfam.
UGCGGGGUGGAGCAGUCUGGUAGCUCGUCGGGCUCAUAACCCGAAGGUCGUUGGUUCAAAUCCAGCCCCCGCUA